This 464-nucleotide ribosomal RNA is filed under the name uncultured bacterium. Its description in RNAcentral is "partial 16S ribosomal RNA". It matches the Rfam family "Bacterial small subunit ribosomal RNA", at positions 28 to 507 of the family's 1533-position model. The record is from RNAcentral.
GACGAACGCUGGCGGCGUGCUUAACACAUGCAAGUCGAACGGUAAGGCCCCUUCGGUGGUACACUAGUGUCGAACGGGUGCGUAACACGUGGGUGAUCUGCCCUUCACUUCGGGAUUAGCCUGGGAAACUGGGUCUAAUACCGGAUAGGACCACUCUCUUCAUGGAGUGUGUUGAAAAGCUUUUGCGGGUUUGGAUGGGCCCUCUGCCUAUCAGCUUGUUGGUUUGGUGAUUUCAUACGAAGACGACGACGGGUAGCCGGCAUGAGAGGGUGUCCGGCCACACUGGGACUGAGAUACGGAGCAGACUGCUACGGGAGGCAGUAGUGGGGAAUAUUGCACAAUGGGCGCAAGCCUGAUGCAGAGACGCCGCGUGGGGGAUGACGGCCUUCGGGUUGUAAACCUCUUUCAGUACCGACGAAGCGAAAGUGACGGUAGGUAAAGAAGAAGCACCGGCCAACUACGUG